This 253-nucleotide ribosomal RNA is filed under the name uncultured bacterium. RNAcentral's name for it is "partial 16S ribosomal RNA". It matches the Rfam family "Bacterial small subunit ribosomal RNA", at positions 524 to 776 of the family's 1533-position model. The record is from RNAcentral.
UACGGGGGGGGCAAGCGUUGUUCGGAAUUACUGGGCGUAAAGGGCGCGCAGGCGGCUCAUUUUGUCAGGCGUGAAAGCCCCGGGCUUAACCUGGGAACUGCGUUUGAUACGGAUGGGCUAGAGUUCGGGAGAGGAGAGUGGAAUUCCCAGUGUAGAGGUGAAAUGCGCAGAUAUCGGGAGGAACACCAAUUGCGAAGGCAGCUCGCUGGGACGUUACUGACGCUGAGACGCGAAAGCGUGGGGAGCAAACAGG